CCUACGGGUGGCAGCAGUGAGGAAUAUUGGUCAAUGGGCGUAAGCCUGAACCAGCCAAGUCGCGUGCAGGAUGACGGUUCUAUGGAUCGUAAACUUCUUUUAUACGGGAAUAAAAUGUGGGACGUGUCCUAUUUUGUAUGUACCUUAUGAAUAAGGAUCGGCUAACUCCGUGCCAGCAGCCGCGGUAAUACGGAGGAUCCGGGCGUUAUCCGGAUUUAUUGGGUUUAAAGGGUGCGUAGGCGGCCUUUUAAGUCAGCGGUGAAAUUCUGUGGCUCAACCAUGGAAUUGCGGCUGAAACUGGGGGGCUUGAGUAGGUGUGAGGUAGGCGGAAUGCGUGGUGUAGCGGUGAAAUGCUUAGAUAUCACGCAGAACCCCGAUUGCGAAGGCAGCCUGCCAAGCCAUGACUGACGCUGAUGCACGAAAGCGUGGGGAUCAAACAGGAUUAGAUACCCGUGUAGUC
Molecule: ribosomal RNA, 460 nt
Filed under: uncultured bacterium
Lineage: Bacteria
Description: partial 16S ribosomal RNA
Rfam family: Bacterial small subunit ribosomal RNA
Source: RNAcentral